UACGGGAGGCAGCAGGGGGAAUAUUGCACAAUGGGCGCAAGCCUGAUGCAGCCAUGCCGCGUGUAUGAAAAGGCCUUCGGGUUGUAAAGUACUUUCAGUCGUGAGGAGGUGUUAAGGUUAAUAACCUUAGCAAUUGACGUUAGCGACAGAAGAAGCACCGGCUAACUCCGUGCCAGCAGCCGCGGUAAUACGGAGGGUGCGAGCGUUAAUCGGAAUUACUGGGCGUAAAGGGCACGCAGGCGGUUAAUUAAGUUGGAUGUGAAAUCCCCGGGCUUAACCUGGGAAUGGCAUUCAAGACUGGUUAGCUAGAGUCUUGUAGAGGGGGUAGAAUUCCAUGUGUAGCGGUGAAAUGCGUAGAGAUGUGGAGGAAUACCGGUGGCGAAGGCGGCCCCUGGACAAAGACUGACGCUCAUGUGCGAAAGCGUGGGGAGCAAAC
Molecule: ribosomal RNA, 436 nt
Filed under: uncultured bacterium
Lineage: Bacteria
Description: bacterial SSU rRNA
Rfam family: Bacterial small subunit ribosomal RNA
Source: RNAcentral